GCCGGGCGUGGUGGCGGGCGCCUGUAGUCCCAGCUACUCGGAGGCUGAGGCGGGAGAAUGGCGUGAGCCUGGGAGGUGGAGCUUGCAGUGAGCCGAGAUCGCGCCACUGCACUCCAGCCUGGGCGACAGAGCGAGACUCCGUCUCAA
Unclassified non-coding RNA from Papio anubis (olive baboon), 147 nucleotides. It matches the Rfam family "Metazoan signal recognition particle RNA". From Rfam's summary of the family: The signal recognition particle (SRP) is a universally conserved ribonucleoprotein. It is involved in the co-translational targeting of proteins to membranes. The record is from Ensembl. Lineage: Eukaryota; Metazoa; Chordata; Mammalia; Primates; Cercopithecidae.